This 468-nucleotide ribosomal RNA is filed under the name uncultured bacterium. RNAcentral describes it as "partial 16S ribosomal RNA". It matches the Rfam family "Bacterial small subunit ribosomal RNA", at positions 28 to 507 of the family's 1533-position model. The record is from RNAcentral.
GACGAACGCUGGCGGCGUGCUUAACACAUGCAAGUCGAACGGAAAGGCCCUGCUUUUGUGGGGUGCUCGAGUGGCGAACGGGUGAGUAACACGUGAGUAACCUGGCCUGGACUUUGGGAUAACUUCAGGAAACUGGGGCUAAUACCGGAUAGGAGCUCCUGCUGCAGGGUGGGGGUUGGAAAGUUUCGGCGGUUGGGGAUGGACUCGGGGCUUAUCAGCUUGUUGGUGGGGUAGUGGCUUACCAAGGCUUUGACGGGUAGCCGGCCUGAGAGGGUGACCGGCCACAUUGGGACUGAGAUACGGCCCAGACUCCUACGGGAGGCAGCAGUGGGGAAUAUUGCACAAUGGGCGGAAGCCUGAUGCAGCAACGCCGCGUGCGGGAUGACGGCCUUCGGGUUGUAAACCGCUUUCGCCUGUGACGAAGCGUGAGUGACGGUAAUGGGUAAAGAAGCACCGGCUAACUACGUG